AGUGAACGCUGGCGGUAGGCCUAACACAUGCAAGUCGAACGGCAGCACAGUAAGAGCUUGCUCUUACGGGUGGCGAGUGGCGGACGGGUGAGGAAUACAUCGGAAUCUACUUUUUCGUGGGGGAUAACGUAGGGAAACUUACGCUAAUACCGCAUACGACCUACGGGUGAAAGCAGGGGAUCUUCGGACCUUGCGCGAUUGAAUGAGCCGAUGUCGGAUUAGCUAGUUGGCGGGGUAAAGGCCCACCAAGGCGACGAUCCGUAGCUGGUCUGAGAGGAGGAUCAGCCACACUGGAACUGAGAAACGGUCCAGACUCCUACGGGAGGCAGCAGUGGGGAAUAUUGGACAAUGGGCGCAAGCCUGAUCCAGCCAGACCGCGUGGGUGAAGAAGGCUUUCGGGUUGUAAAGCCCUUUUGUUGGGAAAGAAAAGCAGCAGGUUAAUACCCCGCUGUUCUGACGGUACCCAAAGAAUAAGCACCGGCUAACUUCGUG
RNAcentral lists this ribosomal RNA (492 nucleotides) under uncultured bacterium. RNAcentral's name for it is "partial 16S ribosomal RNA". It matches the Rfam family "Bacterial small subunit ribosomal RNA", at positions 29 to 507 of the family's 1533-position model. The record is from RNAcentral.